This is a long non-coding RNA of Poecilia latipinna (sailfin molly), 933 nucleotides long. RefSeq lists it as uncharacterized. The record is from RefSeq and is a predicted model, not a curated record. Lineage: Eukaryota; Metazoa; Chordata; Actinopteri; Cyprinodontiformes; Poeciliidae. The transcript is spliced from 2 exons.
UGAAAAAGUGCUAUGCAAAUAAAAUGACCUUACAUUAAAUAAGAGAGACUUCAAACAUAAACAUUGCUUUGUGUUAGAGGAUUCUGUGUUUUAAUACCGACUACUAGAGCAUUUCUACUAUUAGUUUUUGUGUUGCUAAGGUAGAGAAGAGUGAUGUAACACACAGUGAUCCAGUAUGACAGGAAAAAAACAUAGUGGAGCGUAAAAAAUACCUCAGGAAGGGAACAAAGUGUCUCCAGGCCCAAAAAAAUCUUUAUUGUGAUGAAUAAACUUGAUGGACAAGAGAAUAUUAAAUCGAAGGAAUCAUCAUCAUGAUUAAAAAACUGAACACAAUUAUUUUUAUUUUUACAUUGCAUAAAUCCUGGGGACAGAAGUUUAUGGAAAUCAGCACAUAAAUCAAAUCAAGUGACUCAACUAGUGGAUCCAAGAAAAGCAUGGAGGCAACAGUAACGAGCAGAUGAUGCUGAUGUGUUCUGACAGAGAGAUAUGGCUUCAAGAGAGGAAAUAAAUAGCAAGGAAGACAGAGAACACAACAUCAAGACCUCAUAAAGUAAUGGUUAAAGGUAAGCAAGCGAGUCGUGGAGAGGACAGCCACACCUCUGCUCCGUCAGCGGGAGGAGGGGCUGCUGCAGCCUGAGGCAGAGCAACAGAACUGAUGGGCGCCCUCGUCCUCGCCCUCCUCACUGGGGAGGCGACAAACAUGGGACAGCAGGCGGACGAGAAAAAAAACAGAGGAAAAACGUGAAAAACGAAGCAUGAAGCAAGCAGGUGGGAUCCCGUCCUUACUAGUGUGGGUGGCAUUAAGGAGAUAAAGCAGGAACAAAAAAGGCAUCUGGGUUAGUUUACUCUGCAGCUGCCUUAGUGCCAGUAGGUGGCAGUGUUGCGGCGCUGUGUGCUGGAGAGCAGCAUCAGCUGAGGGAUAAGUGGAGGAGA